AGGUCAAGAUAGUAAGGGCGCACGGUGGAUGCCUUGGCGCCAGGAGCCGAUGAAGGCCGUGGCAAGCUGCGAUAAGCCUCGGG
RNAcentral lists this ribosomal RNA (83 nucleotides) under Ammonifex thiophilus. RNAcentral describes it as "partial 23S ribosomal RNA". It matches the Rfam family "Bacterial large subunit ribosomal RNA", at positions 1 to 82 of the family's 2925-position model. Lineage: Bacteria; Bacillati; Bacillota; Clostridia; Thermoanaerobacterales; Thermoanaerobacteraceae. The record is from RNAcentral.